UAGAUGACGCUGGCGGCGUGCCUAAUACAUGCAAGUCGAGCGAACGGACGAGAAGCUUGCUUCUCUGAUGUUAGCGGCGGACGGGUGAGUAACACGUGGAUAACCUACCUAUAAGACUGGGAUAACUUCGGGAAACCGGAGCUAAUACCGGAUAAUAUUUUGAACCGCAUGGUUCAAAAGUGAAAGACGGUCUUGCUGUCACUUAUAGAUGGAUCCGCGCUGCAUUAGCUAGUUGGUAAGGUAACGGCUUACCAAGGCAACGAUGCAUAGCCGACCUGAGAGGGUGAUCGGCCACACUGGAACUGAGACACGGUCCAGACUCCUACGGGAGGCAGCAGUAGGGAAUCUUCCGCAAUGGGCGAAAGCCUGACGGAGCAACGCCGCGUGAGUGAUGAAGGUCUUCGGAUCGUAAAACUCUGUUAUUAGGGAAGAACAUAUGUGUAAGUAACUGUGCACAUCUUGACGGUACCUAAUCAGAAAGCCACGGCUAACUACGUGCCAGCAGCCGCGGUAAUACGUAGGUGGCAAGCGUUAUCCGGAAUUAUUGGGCGUAAAGCGCGCGUAGGCGGUUUUUUAAGUCUGAUGUGAAAGCCCACGGCUCAACCGUGGAGGGUCAUUGGAAACUGGAAAACUUGAGUGCAGAAGAGGAAAGUGGAAUUCCAUGUGUAGCGGUGAAAUGCGCAGAGAUAUGGAGGAACACCAGUGGCGAAGGCGACUUUCUGGUCUGUAACUGACGCUGAUGUGCGAAAGCGUGGGGAUCAAACAGGAUUAGAUACCCUGGUAGUCCACGCCGUAAACGAUGAGUGCUAAGUGUUAGGGGGUUUCCGCCCCUUAGUGCUGCAGCUAACGCAUUAAGCACUCCGCCUGGGGAGUACGACCGCAAGGUUGAAACUCAAAGGAAUUGACGGGGACCCGCACAAGCGGUGGAGCAUGUGGUUUAAUUCGAAGCAACGCGAAGAACCUUACCAAAUCUUGACAUCCUUUGACAACUCUAGAGAUAGAGCCUUCCCCUUCGGGGGACAAAGUGACAGGUGGUGCAUGGUUGUCGUCAGCUCGUGUCGUGAGAUGUUGGGUUAAGUCCCGCAACGAGCGCAACCCUUAAGCUUAGUUGCCAUCAUUAAGUUGGGCACUCUAAGUUGACUGCCGGUGACAAACCGGAGGAAGGUGGGGAUGACGUCAAAUCAUCAUGCCCCUUAUGAUUUGGGCUACACACGUGCUACAAUGGACAAUACAAAGGGCAGCGAAACCGCGAGGUCAAGCAAAUCCCAUAAAGUUGUUCUCAGUUCGGAUUGUAGUCUGCAACUCGACUACAUGAAGCUGGAAUCGCUAGUAAUCGUAGAUCAGCAUGCUACGGUGAAUACGUUCCCGGGUCUUGUACACACCGCCCGUCACACCACGAGAGUUUGUAACACCCGAAGCCGGUGGAGUAACCUUUUAGGAGCUAGCCGUCGAAGGUGGGACAAAUGAUGGG
This 1471-nucleotide ribosomal RNA is filed under the name Staphylococcus aureus. RNAcentral's name for it is "partial 16S ribosomal RNA". It matches the Rfam family "Bacterial small subunit ribosomal RNA". The record is from RNAcentral. Lineage: Bacteria; Bacillati; Bacillota; Bacilli; Caryophanales; Staphylococcaceae.